UACCCGUGUAGUCCUAGCCGUAAACGAUACUCGCUAAGUGUCGGCCACGGUGCGACCGUUGUCGGUGCCGUAGGGAAGCCGUGAAGCGAGCCACCGUGGGAAGUACGGCCGCAAGGCUAGAAACUUAAAGGAAUUGGCGGGGAGCACCACAACGGGUGGAGCUUGCGGUUUAAUUGGAUUCAACGCCGGAAAUCUUACCGGGACCGACAGCAACAUGAAGGCCAAGCUGAAGACUUUGCCGGAUUAGCUG
RNAcentral lists this ribosomal RNA (250 nucleotides) under uncultured archaeon. Its description in RNAcentral is "partial 16S ribosomal RNA". It matches the Rfam family "Archaeal small subunit ribosomal RNA", at positions 734 to 982 of the family's 1478-position model. The record is from RNAcentral.